RNAcentral lists this long non-coding RNA (1649 nucleotides) under Anas platyrhynchos platyrhynchos (common mallard). RNAcentral describes it as "lncRNA (ENSAPLG00000021536.1)". The record is from RNAcentral. Lineage: Eukaryota; Metazoa; Chordata; Aves; Anseriformes; Anatidae.
AUGACAGCGAGAGCAGCAGAAUAUGGACCUUGGAGCAAGAUACCUCGAGUGAAGGCCUGGAGGCCAAAUACAGCUCGUGAUGCCCAGCCAAGGCACCUGAUAAAUGAGCCUGUGCAGGGAGUGGCCUUGAAUCCAGACAGAGUAGGACUUCUCCUCUGCGUGUUCUCAGUGCAACAUUGGAUUUACCUGAACAGCCUGGAUUUGGUCUGUGCUUUGCAUUUCUUCUGGGACAGAUCUGUGACUGCAAGUUGGACUUCCAGUCUUUGACAAACAUGGACAUACCAGCAAAAUGGUUUUUUGUACUGGUCAUACCCCUUGAAGAAGACUGCUCUUAUAGCAACUAAAUGCUGCAGUGUAGGGAGUUUCAAUUGCAGAGUACAUAUCUUACUGUAUUUUUUUCAGAUGGGCUGUGACCACAGUCUUCUGCUUCAUCUAAGGGAAAGUAUUAUUUUGGUUUGAAAGUAGUGGAAGAAUCUCUAUUAAUUUUCAAGUGCAAAUGAUAAAAUACAAACAAUUUAUUUCCCUUUACUCAUGUGGUAUAACAAGGUCUGAUUUAAAAUCUUUAGCAGAAAUCUAUUGCCAAAUUUUCAGGAUGAGCAACAGCAGAAAAAAUCAGUAUGCUAAAAACCAAAACAUUUCUUGUUGACUUAAGAAGCUCGUUAAAGUCUCAUUUGGGCCUGGUCUGUCGUUUGGUAUAAUCUGCGCAGUUAAGGCAUAAAAUGAUAUAAAUAUGGACUGGAGCCCAACCUCUGCACUUUCAAGAGCCAGUCCUACUUCAUUGGCUUCAAAGAAACCUAAAGAAUGAAACUGGAAUAGAGUGCCCUACAGGCUAGGCAAAUACAUGGAAAAUUUGUGCAACAUUCCAGGUUCAGUGAAGGAAAGCCAGCAGCAAGAAGAAGGUGUUCACCCAUUACCAUGAGGGAAAUGAAUGGUAUAUACCAGGCAAACAAUUUCACCUCCCUCACCUCAAAGAGAAAAUAGCCACAGGAGGUGCAUCCUUGGUGUAAGCACAUCUUCCCAGAUGAGAGGACUGGAAUAAUGAGCAGCUCUACUAAAAUCCCUGCAGGUGUGUGAAACAGCAUGUGAACUCUUCCCAAGAAAGUCAAGUUCAUGUUGGUGGAAAGGGAAUUUAAGUGGAAUCCCUGAUAAAAACCUACUGGACCUACAUCCCACAUAAGGCCUGCUGACUGGGUGGAACCGAAAGGUGAAGAAGCACACAUACAUAAUCCAUCAGUUGGUUUGACGUGUGUGGGGUGGCUUCACUUAGGUGACUUCAUGUCUCAGAGAUCUGCUGAGCCACAGUGCCAGACUGCCUGCCUCACUCAUUGCCCAGGGCUGCAAUAUUUUCUCUGCUGCCAUCAUCCCUCUGGGAGAAGGCUUUCCUUUUCAGAUGGGGUGGGAAUUUGUGGCCCAUGGGCUGCAUUGGUCUGGAGCUCUGUUCCAGAGGGCCUGCAGCCACACAAGUGGGAGGAAGGCAGACAGGCAUCUCACUAGUGCACAAAAAAUGAAUGUUAAUUAUGUUUCUAGUUAUCACAGGAGAAGUCUAUUAUCUGUGUGUCAAUGCACAGCCCACAAAGAUUGCACCAAAAUCCCAGCUAAAGCCUAGGUUAAAAAAUAAAUCUAAUCCUGUGACUGUUGAACCUCCUGUU